This 495-nucleotide ribosomal RNA is filed under the name uncultured bacterium. Its description in RNAcentral is "partial 16S ribosomal RNA". It matches the Rfam family "Bacterial small subunit ribosomal RNA", at positions 28 to 507 of the family's 1533-position model. The record is from RNAcentral.
GACGAACGCUGGCGGCGUGCCUAAUACAUGCAAGUAGAACGCUGACGGAGGAGCUUGCUCUUCUGGAUGAGUUGCGAACGGGUGAGUAACGCGUAGGUAACCUGCCUGGUAGCGGGGGAUAACUAUUGGAAACGAUAGCUAAUACCGCAUAACAGUAGAUGUUGCAUGACAUUUGCUUAAAAGGUGCAAUUGCACCACUACCAGAUGGACCUGCGUUGUAUUAGCUAGUUGGUGGGGUAACGGCUCACCAAGGCGACGAUACAUAGCCGACCGGAGAGGGGGGUCCGCCACAACGGGAAUGGGGCAACGCCCAGGCUUCCUCGGGGAGCAGCAGUAGGGAAUCUUUGGCAAUGGACGGAAGUCUGACCGAACAACGCCGCGGGAGUGAAUAAGGUUUUCGGAGCGUAAAGCUCUGUUGGAAGAGAAGAACGAGUGUGAGUGUGGAAAGUUCACACUGUGACGGUAUCGUACCAGAAAGGGACGGCUAACUACGUG